CCGAGUUUACAACUCCCAAACCCCUGUGAACAUACCACUUGUUGCCUCGGCGGAUCAGCCCGCGCCCCGUAAAACGGGACGGCCCGCCAGAGGAACCCUAAACUCUGUUUCUAUAGUGGAACUUCUGAGUAAAAACCAUAAAUAAAUCA
This 149-nucleotide unclassified non-coding RNA is filed under the name soil metagenome. RNAcentral's name for it is "partial internal transcribed spacer 1". The record is from RNAcentral.